Non-coding RNA from Aegilops tauschii subsp. strangulata, 1150 nucleotides. Lineage: Eukaryota; Viridiplantae; Streptophyta; Magnoliopsida; Poales; Poaceae. The record is from RefSeq and is a predicted model, not a curated record.
UCCUGCCUUAUCGUGCCACUCUCCGUUUCCUCCGCCUCAACCAUCCAAGCGCUGCCUCUCCCAGAUCCGCCUCUGCCUUGACCUGCCCCAUCAGCACCGCCGCUGCCUACUUCCCCUAGUCUUGCAGUCGCUCUAGAACCACCCCUCCUUGAUUCGCCUCAUCCUUGGCUAAGGAUGGCCUCUCCCUUGAGCUUUGUGUGCACCGACAUACUCGCGCAGAGCAUGUUCUUCGCCGCCAAGUUCUCCGACCGCUGGUCCACAUGGCGAUGUGCAUCGAGGCUCUGCGCCUCAUGUGCUGCAAGGAUUUUCGUCGGAGGCUGAUAAGGAAGGUUGUGGGAAGGUUCUUGUCAUUUAAAGGCUUCAAGCUAUCUCUAUUAACAUAAGAAUUGAGGUUUGGAGGAAGAAACGAGAUAAGCUAAAAUGGUUUGGACAUAAGAUGUAUUUCUCUCAGAACAUCAUGCUUCAUUCACUUGGAUUGUUGGUUACUGCCAUUACUACCAACGGAUUGGGGGCAUGCGCGCCAACCGCCAAGUAAUGCCUUCAAGACUAGUUCAUGAGAAUUGGCACUACUGUUGCGUGAAGAGCAUUCAAUCUACUCUUUACACAUCUAGUUACUACCUCUUCAGAAUAACAAUACAUUGUAUUCUUAUGUGUUCAAUAUUCUAUCUGGACAAGUCUCUGGCUGCUGAGUCAAGAUUACAAAGCGCUGGGAUGAUGAGGUAUUAAUGGGGGACAAGGGCGAGCACACUUGUUGAGAGCCUAUAUUCAACCUGCAGUUGUAUACUGGUGAUGACAUGGCAAUUACUUUAUUUUCUUAACCAGAAAAUAUGGUAUAAAGAAUGUGGAUGUCAUUAUGUACACGGAUAAUGGGAAGCAAUCAUAGAGGUGAUCUUAAUGAUGAGAGUGAUAUCUAUGGUGACAAGCAGACUUCAAAGUGAUUCAACCAAGUGAAGUUCUCAAGUUGGAAUGUUGAUGUUGUUUGAUGUUUCUGGACCAUUUGUCUUAGGAAAAAUGUAUAGAACAUUAUGUUCUCGUCACUAUUUUAUUUUUCAUUUUGAUGGAUCAUUAAGGUUUAGUGUGAUUUGGAUACUACUCUUGGUGUACUUGGGAUACAUUAUGAGAUUGUGCUAAAUAUAAUUUGUUUUUGUCA